GCGGCUGUGGCGGAAUGGCAGACGCGCUACUUUGAGGGGGUAGUGGACUUACGUCCGUGUGAGUUCAAGUCUCACCAGCCGCA
This 83-nucleotide transfer RNA is filed under the name Dialister sp. CAG:357. It matches the Rfam family "tRNA". From Rfam's summary of the family: Transfer RNA (tRNA) molecules are approximately 80 nucleotides in length. Their secondary structure includes four short double-helical elements and three loops (D, anti-codon, and T loops). The record is from Rfam by way of RNAcentral. Lineage: Bacteria; Bacillati; Bacillota; Negativicutes; Veillonellales; Veillonellaceae.